UCUUUACAAAUUGUCCUUCCAAGCUGCUGCUACCUUAUAAACAUCUGAAUCUCCCAGACUAAGUUUUUUUUUUGGGGGGGGGGGCACACAAAGACUUUUGAAUGCUGCUAUAGCUGUAUUCUUUGGUUGCUAAGUAAACACAAGGGAUUGUUAUAGUAAUUCUUGCUUCCUCCCUCUGCUAGCUGUAGACCGUUGCCAUGAAGAUUCUGAAUCUGAAACUAUAGCUGUUGCAGAAAAGCUUCCCAGUCUCGUUUCUAGGAGACAGAUUGUCAUUUUUGGGCAUCAGGAGGAUUCAUCAGUCAUGCCAGGAGCAAAUUUACAACCCCCUAGCGAAGGCCUGUGCUUGACAAAAUCUCUUAUUGUCCAGAGGAACCUGCCUGUAUCAGUGAAGAAAGAGGACCCAGAGAAGAUAUCUGAAGCCUUGACUUCUGUACAGGUCCUACGGCUAGAUAGGGAGAGAAUUAGCUGCAUUGCCAACCUGCCAGAAUUAAAACAUGUCCACAGCAUCUAUUUACAACAGAAUCAAAUAAAGAAAAUUGAAAACUUAAACUGCUUUCCAAACUUGAAGUUUCUGUCAUUAUCUGGGAAUUAUAUCAACAAAGUAGAGAACCUCCAACCUCUCCUCAAGUUGAAAUUUUUGGAUCUUUCACAGAAUUGCAUUGAUACUUUAGACAUAGGUUAGUCUAUGUCUAUUCCUCUGUUCAUCUUUGCUAUCUACACCAGCCAUCCUUAAACUUGUGUUUUCCUGAUGAGCUGCCCCUGAACCUUGCAAUCCUUGACCUGACUGGAAAUAAAUGCAUGAAUCAAAAAGGCUACAGAGAAUGUGUGUUGGCAGCUCUGCCCCAUCUGAUAGAACUGGACCACAAAAGCAUCCCAAAGCAGAA
This is an RNA transcript of Ahaetulla prasina, 884 nucleotides long. It is a transcript of the gene named leucine rich repeat containing 46, with no coding region annotated. The transcript is spliced from 7 exons. NCBI's taxonomy places the organism in Eukaryota, Metazoa, Chordata, Lepidosauria, Squamata, Colubridae. The record is from RefSeq and is a predicted model, not a curated record.